UGGAACUGUGGCUCAGUGCCAGAACAUCUGCUUGGCAUACAGAAGGUCCCAGGUUCAAUCCCCGCCAUCUCAG
RNAcentral lists this transfer RNA (73 nucleotides) under Sphaerodactylus townsendi. RNAcentral's name for it is "tRNA-Ala". The record is from RNAcentral. Lineage: Eukaryota; Metazoa; Chordata; Lepidosauria; Squamata; Sphaerodactylidae.